CAAAUGCUUCAGCCGCUGAUGGCUCAUCUGUGAAAUGAGAUGCACUGGCCAGUUGGUGAACUCUGGCAGAGAGUGAGCCUGUAGCUUUGCUUUGGACGAUGGGAAAUGCACAGUUCAUCGUUUCCUGAGCCUUUCUUCCUCUGUCCUGAAGGCUGUUUUGUGGUGAGAAAUGAAAUGAAAGCAAUCACGAGCUCCAGGAGCCUUUUGGCACUGUAUGUUUUUGUUGUCAUAAAAAUCAUAAAAGUAAGCACCGUGUUCCUACCAGAACCUGGAGCUCUAAUCAGACACCCAAGGCUGAGGUCUUCUGUUGUGCUUUGCCUGUGCUGGUCUUAGACUCCUCGGGCUGUAAUUCCUACUGGGAGGCCUCAAAGGUGUGCCAGUGCGCUGGAGUCCCUUGCUGCAAGAAACCUGGGCUGGCAGCAGAUAAUUAAUGAGAGGAUGAAAGUGUGAAGAAAAAAAGAAGAGUGGGAUCAUCAGGUAUCUUCCAAAAUGGAUUGUAAUAGAAAGUGGCAGAAUAUGCUGGCAAUAAAAU
Molecule: long non-coding RNA, 532 nt
Organism: Motacilla alba alba
Lineage: Eukaryota; Metazoa; Chordata; Aves; Passeriformes; Motacillidae
Exons: 4
Source: RefSeq, a predicted model, not a curated record